Molecule: ribosomal RNA, 480 nt
Filed under: uncultured bacterium
Lineage: Bacteria
Description: partial 16S ribosomal RNA
Rfam family: Bacterial small subunit ribosomal RNA
Source: RNAcentral
GACGAACGCUGGCGGCGCGCUUAACACAUGCAAGUCGAGCGACGAAACUUUAACAGAACCCUUCGGGGCGAAGAUAAAGUGGAUUAGCGGCGGACGGGUGAGUAACACGUGAGUAACCUGCCUUAGACAUUGGGAUAGCCUCGGGAAACCGGGAUUAAUACCAAAUAAAAUCAUAAUGACACAUGUCAUAACGAUCAAAACUCCGGUGGUCUAAGAUGGACUCGCGUCCCAUUAGCUAGUUGGUAGAGUAAAAGCCUACCAAGGCGACGAUGGGUAGCCGGCCUGAGAGGGUGAACGGCCACAUUGGAACUGAGAAACGGUCCAAACUCCUACGGGAGGCAGCAGUGGGGAAUAUUGCACAAUGGAGGGAACUCUGAUGCAGCGACGCCGCGUGAACGAAGAAGGCUUUCGAGUCGUAAAGUUCUUUUAUAUGGGAAGAUAAUGACGGUACCAUAAGAAAAAGCCCCGGCUAACUACGUG